GGAAUUUUCCGCAAUGGGCGAAAGCCUGACGGAGCAAUACCGCGUGAAGGAUGACGGCCUAUGGGUUGUAAACUUCUUUUCUCAGAGAAGAAUUUUGACGGUAUCUGAGGAAUAAGCAUCGGCUAACUCUGUGCCAGCAGCCGCGGUAAGACAGAGGGUGCAAGCGUUGUUCGGAAUUAUUGGGCGUAAAGCGUGCGUAGGCGGACCGUUAAGUCUGAUGUGAAAUCCCUCGGCUCAACCGAGGACGUGCAUUGGAUACUGGCGGUCUUGAGUCUCGGAGAGGAGAGCGGAAUUCCUAGUGUAGAGGUGAAAUUCGUAGAUAUUAGGAGGAACACCAGUGGCGAAAGCGGCUCUCUGGACGAUGACUGACGCUGAGGCACGAAAGCAUAGGUAGCAAACAGGAUUAGAUACCCCUGUAGUC
RNAcentral lists this ribosomal RNA (421 nucleotides) under uncultured bacterium. RNAcentral's name for it is "bacterial SSU rRNA". It matches the Rfam family "Bacterial small subunit ribosomal RNA", at positions 358 to 795 of the family's 1533-position model. The record is from RNAcentral.